RNAcentral lists this ribosomal RNA (277 nucleotides) under uncultured prokaryote. Its description in RNAcentral is "partial 16S ribosomal RNA". It matches the Rfam family "Bacterial small subunit ribosomal RNA", at positions 524 to 800 of the family's 1533-position model. The record is from RNAcentral.
CACGGGGGUUGCGAGCGUUGUCCGGAAUUACUAGGCGUAAAGGGCAGGCAGGCGGAUCCAUAAGUUUAUCGUUUAAGGCGUCGGCUUAACCGGCGUAGGGCGGUAGAUACUGUGGAUCUGGAAUGCGGUUGGGGAAGACAGAAUUCCUGGUGUAGCGGUGGAAUGCGCAGAGAUCAGGAGGAAUACCGAAGGCGAAGGCAGUCUUCCAAGCCGUUAUUGACUCUCAACUGCGAAGGUGUGGGUAUCAAACAGGAUUAGAUACCCGCGUAGUCCCUGA